This 538-nucleotide ribosomal RNA is filed under the name uncultured bacterium. RNAcentral's name for it is "bacterial SSU rRNA". It matches the Rfam family "Bacterial small subunit ribosomal RNA", at positions 358 to 916 of the family's 1533-position model. The record is from RNAcentral.
GGAAUCUUGCACAAUGGAGGAAACUCUGAUGCAGCGAUGCCGCGUGAGUGAAGAAGGCCUUUGGGUUGUAAAGCUCUUUUGUAGGGGAAGAUAAUGACUGUACCCUAAGAAUAAGGUCCGGCUAACUUCGUGCCAGCAGCCGCGGUAAUACGAAGGGACCUAGCGUAGUUCGGAAUUACUGGGCGUAAAGCGCGCGUAGGCCGUUGAGUUAGUUAAUUGUGAAAUCCCAAAGCUUAACUUUGGAACUGCAAUUAAAACUGCUCGACUAGAGUUUGAUAAAGGAAAGCGGAAUACAUAGUGUAGAGGUGAAAUUCGUAGAUAUUAUGUAGAACACCAGUUGCGAAGGCGGCUUUCUGGAUCAACACUGACGCUGAGGCGCGAAAGUAUGGGUAGCAAAGAGGAUUAGAUACCCUCGUAGUCCAUACCAUAAACGAUGAUUGCUAGAUGUUGGAAAUUUAUUUUCAGUAUCGCAGCUAACGCAUUAAGCAAUCCGCCUGGGGAGUACGACCGCAAGGUUAAAACUCAAAUGAAUUGACGG